CAGCCGCCACGGUAAUAUAGAGGGUGCAAGCGUUAAUCGGAAUUACUGGGCGUAAAGCGCGCGUAGGUGGUUCGCCAAGUUGGAUGUGAAAUCCCCGGGCUCAACCUGGGAACUGCAUCCAAAACUGGCGAGCUAGAGUAUGGUAGAGGGUGGUGGAAUUUCCUGUGUAGCGGUGAAAUGCGUAGAUAUAGGAAGGAACAUCAGUGGCGAAGGCGACCACCUGGACUGAUACUGACACUGAGGUGCGAAAGCGUGGGGAGCAAACAGGAUUAGAUACCCCCGUAGUCCCUGUCUCUUAUAC
RNAcentral lists this ribosomal RNA (301 nucleotides) under uncultured bacterium. RNAcentral describes it as "partial 16S ribosomal RNA". It matches the Rfam family "Bacterial small subunit ribosomal RNA", at positions 509 to 807 of the family's 1533-position model. The record is from RNAcentral.